CGACCUGAGAACGAUGAAACAUCACGAACCCCGUGCCGCCCGUCUGGCCACAAACCAUUCGAAGCGACCGUGGCAACCUCGUCCGUAAACCUAACCCCGGCGCGGAAUGUGCCAAGGAACUGAAACCAAAGAGCGUCGCCGGUCGCCUCGGACACGAUGUGCGUGCCGGCGUCGACGUCUUGUAUUUAUCCAAAACGACUCUCGGCAACGGAUAUCUCGGCUCUCGCAUCGAAGAAGAACGUAGCAAAAUGCGAUACUUGGUGUGAAUUGCAGAAUCCCGUGAACCAUCGAGUCUUUGAACGCAAGUUGCGCCCCAAGCCUUCUGGCCGAGGGCAUGUCUGCCUGGGUGUCACAAAUCGUCGUCCCCCCAUCCGCUCGAGGAUAUGGGACGGAAGCUGAUCUCCCGUGUGUUACCGCACGCGGUUGGCCAAAAUCCGAGCUAAGGACGUCAGGAGCGUCUUGACAUGCGGUGGUGAAUUUAAUUCUCGUCAUAUAGUCAGACGUUCCGGUCCUAAAGCUCUUGAUGACCCAAAGUCCUCAACGCGACCCCAGGUCAGGCGGGAUCACCCGCUGAG
RNAcentral lists this ribosomal RNA (575 nucleotides) under embryophyte environmental sample. RNAcentral describes it as "eukaryotic LSU rRNA". The stretch from base 197 to 352 matches the Rfam family "5.8S ribosomal RNA". The record is from RNAcentral. Lineage: Eukaryota; Viridiplantae; Streptophyta.